This 462-nucleotide long non-coding RNA is filed under the name Brassica napus (rape). Its description in RNAcentral is "long non-coding RNA (BNAP_LNC023080)". The record is from RNAcentral. Lineage: Eukaryota; Viridiplantae; Streptophyta; Magnoliopsida; Brassicales; Brassicaceae.
GUUUAAUUUUUUUGUUCACUAAUUUGUUUAGGCGUGCACGUUUGUUGAUUCUGAAAAUGUUCUUCUAAAGCGUGAGAUUUGUUUGUUAAUUUUUUCCUUAUUAAAAUUUAAUUAGAAUAAGAUAUAAAUAUCAGUACAUUGUAGAAUUGUGUGUUUCAAAAUAUUUGUAAUCUAAUUACGUGUAUAAAUUUUAUGUUAAUUAUAUAUGUUUGUAAAAUAGAAAUAUGUAUUAUACAAAAUCUACUUAUGUGUAUAAAACUACUAUAAUGUUUUUAAAGAUAAUGAAUUUAAUAUUAUAUAUUAGAUAUGAACUAUAAUAGUUCAUUUCAGGGUUUUUUAUUUUGGUUAUAGAAUAGCUCAUUUCUGGUUUUUGUUAAAAGAUGUUUGUGAAAUUAGGGGCUGAUGAUGAAAAAGGUCAUGCUUUUGAUUUUAAAUUAUUUGUAUAAAAUUCCAUUUGCUUAU